GGUUAAAAAGCUCGUAGUUGGAUUUCUGUUGAGGAUGACCGGUCCGCUCUUUGAGCGCGUAUCUGGUUCAGCCUUGGCAUCCUCUUGGGGAACGCUACUGUGCUUGAUUGCAUGGGGCGGUAUUCAAGACUUUUACUUUGAGGAAAUUAGAGUGUUCACUGCAAGCGUUAGCAAUUGAAUACAUUAGCAUGGAAUAAUAAUAUAGGUCCUUGGUACUAUUUUGUUGGUUUCUAGAACUAAGGUAAUGAUUAAUAGGGACAAUUGGGGGCAUUCGUAUUAACGCGUCAGAGGUGGAAUUCUUAGAUUGCGUUACGACGAACUACUGCGAAAGCAUUUGCCAAGGAUGUUUUCAUUGAUCAAGAACGAAAGUAUGGGGAUCGAAGACGCUUAGAUACCGUCGUAGUCUAUACCAUAAACUAUGCCAACUAGAGAUUGGAGGUCGUUCUCUUUAUGACUCCUUCAGCACCUUAUGAGAAAUCAAAGUCUUUGGGUUCCGGGGGGAGUAUGGUCGCAAGGCUGAAACUUAAAGGAAUUGACGGAAGGGCACCACCAGGAGUGGAGCCUGCGGCUAAAUUUGACUCAACACGGGAAAACUUACCAGGUCCAGACAUAGUAAGGAUUGACAGAUUGAUAGCUCUU
Molecule: ribosomal RNA, 639 nt
Filed under: uncultured marine eukaryote
Lineage: Eukaryota
Description: SSU rRNA
Rfam family: Eukaryotic small subunit ribosomal RNA
Source: RNAcentral